GGCGGGGCUUUACUGUUGACAGAAGCCGCGCGCGACGCUUCAGUUGUAGCGGUGAAAGAGCGCGAGAUUGGAUUUUUGUCCUUCCACAGUAUAGACCCUCCUUCAAGGUUUGGCUACCAAGUUCCUGGCUCCUAGUGAGAUUGUCCAAGGAUCAUUCUCUAUGGAGAGCACUAUAGCUUGCCCCUUUAUUAAUCUUCUCUGCCGCUAUUCCACCCCAUUCAUGGCACAACAGCUG
This is a long non-coding RNA of Pangasianodon hypophthalmus (striped catfish), 235 nucleotides long. RefSeq lists it as uncharacterized. Lineage: Eukaryota; Metazoa; Chordata; Actinopteri; Siluriformes; Pangasiidae. The transcript is spliced from 3 exons. The record is from RefSeq and is a predicted model, not a curated record.